UACGAAGGGUGCAAACGUUGUUCGGAUUUACUGGGCGUAAAGGGCGCGUAGGCGGCAAUUCAAGUCAUCUGUGAAAUCUCCGGGCUUAACUCGGAACGGUCAGAUGAUACUGCUUUGCUAGAGUGCGGAAGGGGCAAUCGGAAUUCUUGGUGUAGCGGUGAAAUGCGUAGAUAUCAAGAGGAACACCUGAGGUGAAGACGGGUUGCUGGGCCGACACUGACGCUGAGUGCGCGAAAGCCAGGGGAGCAAACGGG
This 254-nucleotide ribosomal RNA is filed under the name uncultured bacterium. Its description in RNAcentral is "partial 16S ribosomal RNA". It matches the Rfam family "Bacterial small subunit ribosomal RNA", at positions 524 to 776 of the family's 1533-position model. The record is from RNAcentral.